GUUUGAUCAUGGCUCAGAACUAACGCUGGCGGCGCGUCUUAAACAUGCAAGUCGUACGAGAACCCCGGUGCUUGCAUUGGGGGGAGAGUGGCGAACGGGUGAGUAACACGUGGAUAAUCUGCCUUCAGGAUGGGGACAACCAUUGGAAACGAUGGCUAAUACCGAAUAAUAUAGCUUUUGCAUAAGCAAGAGCUAUCAAUGGUGGGGACCGCAAGGCCUACCGCCUGAAGAUGAGUCCGCGGCCCAUUAGCUAGUUGGCAGGGUAAUGGCCUACCAAGGCAACGAUGGGUAGCCGGCCUGAGAGGGUGAUCGGCCACAUUGGGACUGAGAUACGGCCCAGACUCCUACGGGAGGCAGCAGUUAAGAAUCUUGCGCAAUGGGCGAAAGCCUGACGCAGCGACGCCGCGUGAAUGAUGAAGGCCUUCGGGUUGUAAAGUUCAAUAAGCAGGGAAGAAUAAGUGGAGUAUAAUACACUCCAUGAUGACGGUACCUGUCUAAAGCCUCGGCUAACUACGUGCCAGCAGCCGCGGUAACACGUAUGAGGCGAGCGUUGUUCGGAAUUAUUGGGCGUAAAGGGCGUGUAGGCGGGGGAUUAAGUUAGGUGUGAAAUCCACGGGCUCAACCCGUGAAUUGCAUCUAAUACUGAUUCUCUUGAGUUCGGGAGAGGAGAGCGGAAUUUCCGGUGUAGCGGUGAAAUGCGUAGAUAUCGGAAAGAACACCAGUGGCGAAGGCGGCUCUCUGGCCUAGAACUGACGCUGAUACGCGAAAGCGUGGGGAGCGAACGGGAUUAGAUACCCCGGUAGUCCACGCCGUAAACGUUGUAUACUAUGUGUUAGCGGAUUUAUCCGCUAGUGCCGCAGCUAACGCAUUAAGUAUACCG
RNAcentral lists this ribosomal RNA (880 nucleotides) under uncultured bacterium. Its description in RNAcentral is "bacterial SSU rRNA". It matches the Rfam family "Bacterial small subunit ribosomal RNA", at positions 11 to 871 of the family's 1533-position model. The record is from RNAcentral.